This is a non-coding RNA of Durio zibethinus, 2747 nucleotides long. The record is from RefSeq and is a predicted model, not a curated record. Lineage: Eukaryota; Viridiplantae; Streptophyta; Magnoliopsida; Malvales; Malvaceae.
ACUUUGCUUGGGGAGGAGCUUGGCUACAAGGAUGAACUCGGCUUGGUGCAAAAGCAGCUUGGCUUGGCAGCUUAGGGGAUGCAGAUUUAUGGAGAGGGUCGUGACUAGGUCGGCUUACCAUGGGUUGACGUGCGGAUGUACUGGACGGGUUGGCGGAAAAAGUUUCUUUUAAUGCUAAACGACACCGUUUAAGGGACUAUAAAAGCCUCUUUUCAAGCCUUUCUCUCCAUUCUUAAAGUUUUGUUUCUCUCUCUAUCCUCUGUUAUUCUCUCUCUUUCCCUUUUCAAGAUUUUUCAAAAACCAAAAUAAACUAAAAAACACAAGCCCAGCUUUAAGCUUUAUUAAAAAAUCAACGUUAUUCUGCUUCCCUCACUAUCGUACGUCACUGAAACAACUUCAAAAUUUUCCCACAAACUUGUCUCAAUCUCUUCUUCCUCAUACUCUAGCUAACUACUUCUAAAACUAUCUAGAUAGCCAUAGAUCUGUGCUCGAAAGUCAUGAUUUCCAUCUUGGUUCCUACACUCCUAUGGCCACUUCUUCAAGGAGGUGGGUGAUGAAACUUGGUUCUUUUUGGGUUUCUGGGUAGUGGUCGGAGUCACAGUCGCUUCUGGGUUGCAAAGCUAUUACUGUUGGCUUAUGAAUUUCCUGAUUGUUGGUUGGAAUUGAAUUUGAGACUGUGGUUAGGUGUGCCGUGCGUUGCCUUGGUUCUACUGUGGUGGAUUUGCAAGUGUUUUGCUAGGUAUUUGGUGGAUUUUUUAUUCUGGUGGAGCCUAGUUGAAUUGGUGAUAGGGUUGGAUUGAUCGACGGUAGCAGUGUGAUGUGAAUAAUGGUUUUCAAUUUGGCAAUGGUGUUUGUGGUUUCACAUGAGGCUAUGACUGGUGAUGGCAAUGGUAGAGAAAGGCGAUGUUAGUCUAAGCCGUUGCUAAAGUGGAGGAAAUAGGCAAUUCAAAAUAACCUGGAAGAGGUGGUCCUGAUGUUGUUGGACUGUUUUCAUGAUUCUCAUACACGUGUUCGAUGGGCUGCUAUUAAAGCCAUUGGACAUUAGAGCGUACACUUGAGCCCAAACUUUCAGCAGGAAUGUCAUCACCUAUGUUUACCUGCAUUAGCUGUAGUCAUGGAAGACUUCCGAUCUUCUCAAGAACAGGUCCUUGCUGCUUCAGCAAUAUUGAAUUUCAUAGACUAUGGUGGACCUAAUAGUAGAGAUAUAAUUCGUUAUUACAGGGGGCUUUUGAGCAAAUUUCGUGCACUCCUUAGGGUAUAUAAUCUUUCACUCAAACAGGCAUUUGUUUUUCUUUUUUUUCUUUGAUGAUUGAGUUUACGUGUAAUUAUCAGUAAAUUGUAUCUCAAUCCUGACUCGUCUCUGGCACUUGAGGUUUGUUCGAGAGAUGACAUAACGAAACAAUUGUAUCUCGAUCCUGAUGUUACGCAUACUUCUAGUCGUGUGAUCUUGGAUGCGGCGAUGGGAAAAUGUAGACUGUUACUGCCCUGAUCUUGGCUGCGGAUGAGGGAACGCUUAUGUAAACUUGCGGUGCUGUAUAGCAAAAGAAGUAGCUAGGAAAUGAGUCUUGCAGCUAACAGGAUCCUAAACUCCACAUCCUUGUACAUUUGAACUACCUAAUAUACUUUGAAUUCAUUCAUUACAUGCAUAAAAAAUAUGACAUAUAAACAGAAAAACACGUCCCUGAAAAUCAUAUUAGUGUAUUCAACACUUUAGCAUCUUUCCCUUUUAGUAAUCAAGAUACUAGAACUUCUGAUCUUUCUUAUUGAUAACUGCCAAGCACCAAUGUAUAUAUUUGUGUAUGGGGACAAAUAUCUGAGCAAAAUGGAAUAAUUGAUUUAAGGAUAAAUGCAAUGUUCAAUCUUGCCAAACAGAUGAUUAUAGAAAGAAAAAGAUAAAUACUUAGUUUGUCACAAUCAAACAGGCAGUACCCCAACAUCUUUUGUAAAGUCUAUAAUUAUAGCCACUCUCCGGGGACUCACUAACUGAGUAUCAGAGGAGAAAAAGUAGUUGAGAAAUUGAUAGUUAUACAAACUUACAUGAAAGAACAAAAUAAGGUAUGUGAAAAUUGAAGAAGAUAGACCAGCAAACAACUACCUUUUUAUAGAAGAAGGUGUUGAAAAAAUAGCAUUUCAGAAAUUUUUUUGGCUCUCUGUUUUCCCUUUCUUUCAGCAAUUCAAGACAGAGAUUAAUGACUUACAAAAGAGAAAUUACAUGUGGUAAAACCAUAUUACUAGAUAAAUUAACAAAUCCUUUCACUGACUACUAUCUGCAAAUACACAACACAAGAUAUAACCCUGAAAGUAAUUGAAAAUGACCUCAUCAUUCAACCAUGAACCUGGUUUCAAGCAUUCCAAAAUUUCUCCUCUAAUAUCAAUGCUUGAGUUCUUAUGAGAGACCAAUAUCUUCCUCCUGCAAAAGCAAACACAAAACAUUACAACACAAGUGACAUACAAUCAAAUAAUUAAACACUAACACAUGCAUUGUUACAUACCAGUAUUUUGGAGAAAAAGCUUGGGAAACCUAUACCGUCUCCUCUGUAAGAGGGAUAAAAGGUUCAGGAGUUAUUGCCUGGCAUUUGAUAAAUGAUAAUGUUAAUGCUAAUAAUUCUGAACAAAUUAGAAAUGCCGUUUAUUCUAUUCUAGAAGCAACAAAAAUUCUUUGAAAGACACUACCCGGACAAUGCAACUCAAUUAAAACUAAGCAAGCAAAAGAAUUUCACCUCUUCUUGCUCAUCCUGUGGUUUCUU